This is a long non-coding RNA of Pocillopora verrucosa, 1066 nucleotides long. RefSeq lists it as uncharacterized. NCBI's taxonomy places the organism in Eukaryota, Metazoa, Cnidaria, Anthozoa, Scleractinia, Pocilloporidae. The record is from RefSeq and is a predicted model, not a curated record.
AAGUAUGAUUGAUUCACAUAAAGGAGCCUUUUUACAUCUGAAAGAUCAAUGAGUUUAUAAGGAAGUGAAUUCAUCUCAUCUUUGGCCCCAAGAUACGUUAUAGAGAAGCCCGCGAGCAGGCCCCAAUCAUCGACCCUGCGACACGGCUGUUUCUUCGCCUGAGCAAAAGAGUUCUUUAAGUUGUCCUCUCUUUACCACUAUCAUCAUUUUCCACGCUGUCCACAGCCAGGAGACCUUGAAAUAUAACAGCAGGGUUUCAUUGCCAAGAAGGACAAGCAGAAAAAGACAGUAUAUUCUGUCCAAUGGGCAAAAUACUGAGCUGAGUACAUUAUACAACCACUUCCCUGACAGGGUAGAGUUUAGUUUUGGUGAUGAUAUAGAGUGGACCAAAUAACAACAACAACAACAACAACAAUACUUUAUAUAGACACCUUAGGCCUAGGAGCUGUGAAAGCUUGUUCAAAAUACCUAUGUGUUAAACAUGGAAAAUUGUUGAAGCAACCAAGAAAGGGAAUUUGUUAUAACAAAAGGCCCAUUUAAAACAACAUCAAGGAAAGCUGGAACUUGAGAAAGAUCAAUUUUGAGUUUAGGUGAUGACAGGAGACCAUUAACUGAAAGGGAAGUUGCCAGAUAUGAUCAUUUCUUGUAAUAUAUCAUUUAUGAUAUAACAGUAUAAAGCAUGUAAUCAUGCACAAAGCUGAUCAUCUUGUUUUCAGAGAGGGACAGUAGGUACUCACAGCUAUUUUUUCAACACUGUGUUUACAAACUGGACAAAAGUAUGGAAUGAAUGUGAAAAUCCAACAAAUAUGAUCACUCUUCUAUAAAAACAAGGGGUUGAAGGUGCCUGUUCAAAGAAGGGGUGUUUCUUAAAUAUUUUGGUCAGCUGGAUGGGCAUUUCUUUAAAGGGGCUCUUAUUUGAUAGUAUAACUUGAGAAUUAAAUGUAAUUUAUUCCAGUACUUACUGUCAAAACAAAGCAGUUUAGAAGUAUUGGACCUGAAUACACAACUGUUAUGAACAAACCAGCUGAAUCAAAAUACUGCUCCUUUGCAAAGGUCCUAUAUAAAA